GGGGAUGAAAGGAUUUCGACGGGGGUUUUGAAUCUCGAUAAGCGUGCAGAGUAUGCGAAUCUCUUUAAAAGCGCAGACGUUUAGAAAUAAACGACAACACUCAUACUGAAUUAGCAGCUGCCUGAGGGCGCUGCCGUGGAUCGCCGGAGCUAUCGGUGACCGGCGAAUCCGCGUGGACUAACCGAUGAACGUGCGCGUUGAUUGCGGAUGAAGGUCGCGCCACGCAAAUAUUCAUCCUGCUUCUUUGCAAGGCAGCUUCCUGCCGUGCCUGGAUUAAGAUAAAGCGGAAGAUAAGCACGUAGAAAGUCUUGACGACGAAUUUUCGGACGCGGUUUCGAUUACCGCCAUCUCCACCA
Molecule: transfer-messenger RNA, 356 nt
Filed under: Acutalibacteraceae
Lineage: Bacteria; Bacillati; Bacillota; Clostridia; Eubacteriales
Also listed under: 1 other name
Description: UBA1081 sp900314355 Standard tmRNA
Rfam family: transfer-messenger RNA
About the family: Bacterial tmRNA, also known as 10Sa RNA or SsrA, is named for its dual tRNA and mRNA-like properties. Its role is to liberate the mRNA from a stalled ribosome.
Source: RNAcentral